UUUCCAUUCAGGACUUACUGCCAAGAAAAUCAAGACUUGAGCACUAGCCAAACAAAGAAUUACGAAGGAGGUUACAGAUCAUAAAGCUCGGCUGAAGUAACAACCGGAGGAAAAGCCCACGUAAACAAUUACAACAUGAUGAGAUGUUGGGAAGAAAAAAUUUGCAGAAGGUUAAACAGUCACCUAAAAUUAAUGGUGACAGAUGCCUGCUAACAAGUGGGGAAGCAAUAUUUAGGAUAUGCUUUGGCGACUCCAACACUGCUGAUUUCACCCUGCAGAAAGAAGAGCCCAUUAAACACGGAUACGUGAAAUGU
Neogale vison (American mink) is the source of this 314-nucleotide long non-coding RNA. RefSeq lists it as uncharacterized. The record is from RefSeq and is a predicted model, not a curated record. Lineage: Eukaryota; Metazoa; Chordata; Mammalia; Carnivora; Mustelidae. The transcript is spliced from 3 exons.